RNAcentral lists this long non-coding RNA (2376 nucleotides) under Homo sapiens (human). RNAcentral's name for it is "HSALNT0091038". Lineage: Eukaryota; Metazoa; Chordata; Mammalia; Primates; Hominidae. The record is from RNAcentral.
GUUGUUUCGGCUCCUGUUCUGUGGGCGGCUGAGGACCGCCGGCUGCCCGGCUCGGAGAAGAACAGAGUCUACAAAAUGCAUUAUUAAAAAGGCAGGAAGAAAACUGGGCUUUAUCAAGGGAGGGUGACAUAGAAAAUUAGAAGAAAAAAUUGGUGAGUUGGACAGUCUAAGCAGUUAAUCUAGACAAGGUGGAAAGAAAAGUGAAAACAGCUGAGCUGAGUAAGGAAGACGAAGAACACUGAAAACAGGGGCUGGAAGUCCUAAAUGUAUAUACUGUCUCUCAGCUGACUGACUACGUUUUGAAAAGAUUUAUUCAUGUAUGUCAAGAUAAGGCAAGAGAUCUCCUAAAACCACCAGCUUCUCUCCUUACGUAUCUGAAGAAACUCUUUCCUCAGAGAACUCAAGUAAAUCUUGAGCAAGCCUGUAUACUGAAGUCAGCUUUCCACGUCAGAGUGACACUGUUGAGGUAGAUCCAUCAACUACAGAGGCUUCUGGGAUAUUUUCACAAGACAGCGAUUGUCAUACUGUGAGCUGAGAACAGCCGUUUCCUAGAGGAGUAAUUAGAUUGACAGAAGGUGACAUAUUCCAAGCAAUAAAUGGGAGAAAGAGUCCAGACAGGUAAUCCAAAAACCACGUGGAAUCUUUCCUCCCAGACAUGUGGACAUAUGGACCCUGCAUUAUUCCAUUUGCUCAUCGGAAAAACUUGAAAUACGUACAAACUGAUGAUGAUAGGUGACAGGUGCUUCAAAAAUUCUAAUGAAAUAGAAUUUCAUUAGGGGAACAGAUUCUAUUUCGUUACUGAAAGGAAUAUAAAUGAAAAAGAAUGCUACAUGGAGCUCUCAUUUCUUGUUUUAGGCAUUACGUUAUCAACUAGAAAAUCCUUUUCUUAUGCAGUGAUUAAAACUGAUUUUUCCCUUCUUAAAUACUAUUUUGUUAUUUAAAAAAUUUUUUCCUUUUAUUCUUUCAAAAAUUAUCUCGUUAGUAAAAAGAAAUAAGUAAAUUAUUGACCUUUUUCGAUUAUAUGAAGCUGUAUUUUUAUAUUAAUGCUAUUUAAGUAAAAUUCAGCUUUUUUUCAGAGAACCACCAUCACAGACUAAAAGCUUUCAACCACUCAAUUUCUUUACAUGUCUGCAGUCUCAGUCCUCAAGAAUGUAUAUUUUCAUCAUCAUCCUUUUCCUGUGCCUGCCCAUUCUACAUGCAGAGAAACCUGGAGAAACCCCCAAAUUACUCCUAUUAACCUUUGUUAAAAAUCCAAGUAAUCACACUUUGUUGCAUAGGUAGUGUGAUCUUUACUUCAGAGGGUUGAUGUGUCAAGAACACAUGCAGGAAUUAUUACUAUUAGUUGCAUCAAUGUCAUGUUCACACAAAAACCAAGAAAAAAAAGCAUCAACUUAGAAAAGGUAGUUUCCUUUCCUCUGAUCCUGAAUCAUUUUUUUGCUUGUCGUUCACAGCUUUAUGAAGAUAAGUAUCUACUCUUAACAAGCUGAAUAAUCUUUAGAAAGUAGUAAAUUCAUGUAGGAAUAGGAAGUGCAGUUGAAAUGAAUACUGCCUAUAAAUUGAGUUUCUAAGAAUAUUUCCUGAAAGUGUUUCCAUAUUGGUGUGCUGGUACUCACGCUGCUGCUGUUUCCUGACCCUUUAGUAUCUACAGAGAGGUGCUUUGAGGACUGUGCCCAGUGCCUUACUUCAUUUAAAAUUUAUUCGGCAAACAAUUAUUGAAAACCUACCAUGUGCCAGAUACUGUUUUGUACGCUUAUGUGUUAGGAAAGCAGCCAAAUUUAAAACUAAAAAGCUCUGACCUGACUUAUAACAUUGUAUGGUUUUUGCCUUAGGCUGAGGGAAGAUUAGAUGCCAAGAAAUUUCUCCACAGGUUUUAAUAAAACUGUAAGCAUUGUCUAUACUAUCUCUCCCUGUAGUACCAUAGUCCCUUUUCUUUGUUCUUAUUCUAGAAAUGAAGACACAUUAAUAUAUUAAAUCUAGUAUAAUCAGCAGGUAGACUUUAAUUAGGCAAGCAAAUCAUAUCCAAUACAGAGUACAAAAAGUUAGAUUUUAACAAAAAUUAUUCACUUGUGGUAAAAAUUUUAAUAAAAAGUUGAAAAUAUAAAACUGUACAAUACUGUAUUUCUCUAGGUUAUUUAUUAAUGCUCAUUCUAGCCAGAUAUCAACUUCUACUGGGGAAGGGGUGGAUGGGGUUGGAUAUUGUCAUUGUUUUUAUUUUUAUAUGCUUCCUCAAAAGAUAAUCUUAAUAUUGGAGCUGAAAUUUUUUUGACUGAAUCAUUUUCAUCUUCAAAUAAUGGAAAUAAAAGACACACUAAUUAAAGAUUUGAAAGCCUUUUCAUGUAUUGAACACAAGGAAACAUCCACCAACUCUGUCUUAAG